Molecule: ribosomal RNA, 1709 nt
Filed under: Salmonella enterica subsp. enterica
Lineage: Bacteria; Pseudomonadati; Pseudomonadota; Gammaproteobacteria; Enterobacterales; Enterobacteriaceae
Description: partial 23S ribosomal RNA
Rfam family: Bacterial large subunit ribosomal RNA
Source: RNAcentral
GUGAAGGUGUGUCGUGAGGCAUGCUGGAGGUAUCAGAAGUGCGAAUGCUGACAUAAGUAACGAUAAAGCGGGUGAAAAGCCCGCUCGCCGGAAGACCAAGGGUUCCUGUCCAACGUUAAUCGGGGCAGGGUGAGUCGACCCCUAAGGCGAGGCCGAAAGGCGUAGUCGAUGGGAAACGGGUUAAUAUUCCCGUACUUGGUGUUACUGCGAAGGGGGGACGGAGAAGGCUAUGUUGGCCGGGCGACGGUUGUCCCGGUUUAAGCGUGUAGGUGUGUGUUCCAGGUAAAUCCGGUUCACUUUAACACUGAGGCGUGACGACGAGGCACUACGGUGCUGAAGCAACAAAUGCCCUGCUUCCAGGAAAAGCCUCUAAGCAUCAGGUAACACGAAAUCGUACCCCAAACCGACACAGGUGGUCAGGUAGAGAAUACCAAGGCGCUUGAGAGAACUCGGGUGAAGGAACUAGGCAAAAUGGUGCCGUAACUUCGGGAGAAGGCACGCUGACACGUAGGUGAAGUGAUUUACUCAUGGAGCUGAAGUCAGUCGAAGAUACCAGCUGGCUGCAACUGUUUAUUAAAAACACAGCACUGUGCAAACACGAAAGUGGACGUAUACGGUGUGACGCCUGCCCGGUGCCGGAAGGUUAAUUGAUGGGGUCAGCGUAAGCGAAGCUCCUGAUCGAAGCCCCGGUAAACGGCGGCCGUAACUAUAACGGUCCUAAGGUAGCGAAAUUCCUUGUCGGGUAAGUUCCGACCUGCACGAAUGGCGUAAUGAUGGCCAGGCUGUCUCCACCCGAGACUCAGUGAAAUUGAACUCGCUGUGAAGAUGCAGUGUACCCGCGGCAAGACGGAAAGACCCCGUGAACCUUUACUAUAGCUUGACACUGAACAUUGAGCCUUGAUGUGUAGGAUAGGUGGGAGGCUUUGAAGUGUGGACGCCAGUCUGCAUGGAGCCGACCUUGAAAUACCACCCUUUAAUGUUUGAUGUUCUAACGUGGACCCGUAAUCCGGGUUGCGGACAGUGUCUGGUGGGUAGUUUGACUGGGGCGGUCUCCUCCUAAAGAGUAACGGAGGAGCACGAAGGUUGGCUAAUCCUGGUCGGACAUCAGGAGGUUAGUGCAAUGGCAUAAGCCAGCUUGACUGCGAGCGUGACGGCGCGAGCAGGUGCGAAAGCAGGUCAUAGUGAUCCGGUGGUUCUGAAUGGAAGGGCCAUCGCUCAACGGAUAAAAGGUACUCCGGGGAUAACAGGCUGAUACCGCCCAAGAGUUCAUAUCGACGGCGGUGUUUGGCACCUCGAUGUCGGCUCAUCACAUCCUGGGGCUGAAGUAGGUCCCAAGGGUAUGGCUGUUCGCCAUUUAAAGUGGUACGCGAGCUGGGUUUAGAACGUCGUGAGACAGUUCGGUCCCUAUCUGCCGUGGGCGCUGGAGAACUGAGGGGGGCUGCUCCUAGUACGAGAGGACCGGAGUGGACGCAUCACUGGUGUUCGGGUUGUCAUGCCAAUGGCACUGCCCGGUAGCUAAAUGCGGAAGAGAUAAGUGCUGAAAGCAUCUAAGCACGAAACUUGCCCCGAGAUGAGUUCUCCCUGAGACUUAGAGUCUCCUGAAGGAACGUUGAAGACGACGACGUUGAUAGGCCGGGUGUGUAAGCGCAGCGAUGCGUUGAGCUAACCGGUACUAAUGAACCGUGAGGCUUAACCUUACAACGCCGAAG